Molecule: ribosomal RNA, 253 nt
Filed under: uncultured bacterium
Lineage: Bacteria
Description: partial 16S ribosomal RNA
Rfam family: Bacterial small subunit ribosomal RNA
Source: RNAcentral
UACAGAGACUGCAAGCGUUAUUCGGAUUCACUGGGCGUAAAGGGUGCGCAGGCGGUUGGGCGUGUCAGAUGUGAAAUCCCGAGGCUCAACCUCGGAACUGCGUCUGAAACUACUCGACUAGAGUACUGGAGAGGGAAACGGAAUUCACGGUGUAGCAGUGAAAUGCGUAGAUAUCGUGAGGAACACCAGAGGCGAAGGCGGUUUCCUGGACAGUUACUGACGCUCAGGCACGAAAGCAUGGGGAGCAAAAGGG